UUUUUCAAUCCCUUAAUCACUAAGUUAAACCUUUCACUUGUGUCAAGAGAUUUCAAUAUUUAUAUGUAUAUAUUUACAAACUAAAUUAUCGCUUGACGCCCUCGGUUAAGGGUGGGUCUGCUGUAUAAAUUUUAAUUUAAUCAGAUUUCAAUAUAGAAAUCGGUGACUAAAAAAACAAAGAUAUUAUAUGCAACGGUUUAACUGGCGUGCCUUUUUGAUGAGCUUAGCUUAUCCAGAAUUGUGAUUUUGUUCUGUGACUGUCCACUCUUCUUUCUUCUUCUCUUAUCUUUCUCAAAGAUCAAUUUUUUCUGCUCCUAAAAUUUCAAGAAUGCGAAGCCUAGUGCUCUCUUGUGAGAGCAGCAGCUUUCUGUUUAAACCCUCUUUUGCUUUAUCUAAUUUUUCCCCUGUUAAUCCCUCUCUAACUGCAAUCUCCAGGUUUUCUAGGCGGCAUUCUCUUUGCAAACAACAUGGAUGGUCUGAGGACUUCCCCAAGGUGGUCAGGACUAGGAAUUACAAAAGAUGCCACAUGACAAGGUCGGCUUAUUGUGACGAAGAAUGCAGUAUAACAAACAAAACAGCAUUGUCGAAGAGGAAAAAUCAAAGCACUUCUGUUCUUCAAGUGUUAGACAUGCCAGAGAACAAUUAUCUGAAAUCCAUUGUCCUUUCUGGGCUUUUCACUCUUUUGUUCACUCAACAAGCAAGUGCUGCUUCAGAGGUUGCUACUGGUUUGCAGUCGUUUCCUUUCUUCGGGGACCUCGGAGAUUUAAGCACAGGUUUUGCUUCAGCGUUCUUGUUGAUAUUCUUUUCUGAGCUUGGGGACAAAACCUUCUUUAUUGCUGCUCUUUUAGCAGCUAGGAAUUCAGCCGUUGUCACUUUCCUUGGGACUUUUGGCGCACUUGGGGUAAUGACAAUCAUAUCCGUUGUUCUCGGACGAACUUUCCACUAUGUCGAUGAUGUUCUUCCUUUCAGGUUAGGUGGAAAUGAUUUGCCAGUGGAUGAUAUUGCUGCCGUUUGCCUUCUGGUGUAUUUUGGAGUGUCAACCUUGCUUGAUGCCUCCUCUAGCGAUGGUAUGAAAGCGGAAGAGGAACAGAAAGAGGCCGAGCUGGCUGUUUCAGAAUUUUCGGGAAAUGGUGCUGGACUAUUGUCUGCUGCAAGCACCAUAGUUAGUACAUUCGCAUUGGUAUUUGUUGCUGAAUGGGGUGACAAAUCAUUUUUUUCUACAAUAGCUCUUGCUGCUGCAUCUUCACCUCUUGGAGUCAUUGGAGGGGCAUUAGCUGGCCACGGAGCUGCAACUUUGGUAAAUGCAGACCGUUAACUAAAACAUUUCUUUUUACAGUUGGCUGUUCUUGGAGGUUCUUUACUGGGGACAUUCUUGUCUGAGAAGGUUAUUGCCUACAUAGGUGGUGCUCUCUUCCUAGUAUUUGCAGCAGUAACAGUAAUAGAGAUAGUGAGUUAAAACAACCAUUAUUUCAUUUUUUUUGUUUUUUUCUAGCAAAAUUGUACUUUUUUCAUAUACAUUAGUAGUAAUUUAUGUUACAUAGUUGGAUUCGGAAUUUAAAAUUUAUGAGUUGGUCGAUAAUAAUUGGAUUCAUAAUUACGUUAUAGAUUCAUCUUUUGCUA
RNA transcript from Solanum lycopersicum (tomato), 1620 nucleotides. It is a transcript of the gene named protein PAM71, chloroplastic, with no coding region annotated. NCBI's taxonomy places the organism in Eukaryota, Viridiplantae, Streptophyta, Magnoliopsida, Solanales, Solanaceae. The record is from RefSeq and is a predicted model, not a curated record.